This is a long non-coding RNA of Sebastes umbrosus (honeycomb rockfish), 169 nucleotides long. RefSeq lists it as uncharacterized. NCBI's taxonomy places the organism in Eukaryota, Metazoa, Chordata, Actinopteri, Perciformes, Sebastidae. The transcript is spliced from 3 exons. The record is from RefSeq and is a predicted model, not a curated record.
GCCUCGGAGGUAUUUUCAGAGGUUGUCAACGAAUGAUGCCAAAAUAUGCCUCCUCCCCCCCGUCAUAUUACGCACAGUUGUGAAUGAUGAAAUGUGUUUACUGGCUCGGGGGAAUCAUUCAGAGGAGAUAUUUGUGAUGGUGUAGUUAGCAUCGUAGCUAGUUAGCAUC